This 253-nucleotide ribosomal RNA is filed under the name uncultured bacterium. RNAcentral's name for it is "partial 16S ribosomal RNA". It matches the Rfam family "Bacterial small subunit ribosomal RNA", at positions 524 to 776 of the family's 1533-position model. The record is from RNAcentral.
UACGUAGGGGGCGAGCGUUGUCCGGAGUUACUGGGCGUAAAGGGCACGCAGGCGGUGCGGCGCGUGUCGCGUGACAGCGGAGGGCUUAACUCUCCGAGGAUGCGAAAGACGGCGGCACUUGAGGGCCAGAGAGGGACACGGAAUUCCCGGUGUAGUGGUGAAAUGCGUAGAUAUCGGGAGGAACACCAGUGGCGAAGGCGACUACCUGGCCUGUUCUUGACGCUGAGGCGCGAAAGCUAGGGGAGCAAACGGG